UGUAAGCCUUCCUCUGGGACCGUGUGCAGUACACCGCCGAGGUGGGACAAGGCAUCGCGGUGCAGGGCUGCCCACGAGGGGCUCGGAGGGACCACGGCUGUCGUGGGAGAGCCGCGUCCACACCCGCUCGCUCACACUGGAGGUGCUUUCUAACUAACUUCCUUCAGAAGCUCAACAACCCAGGAAGAUACGAUACUAAAGGAGCAAAAACAGAGUCUUCAACUCAGGUUUUUGUCAUUUCUGCCUGGAGGGACCUGAUUCCUUGCAAUUUUCCCUGAUAAGGGAGAAAGCUUUAAAUGAAAAUGGAGGAACCAGGAGAUGCUUCCUGUGGCAUAAUGAACUUUAAAUUUCACCAAAAGGCAUGAAAUCCAAAACAGCAACUGAAAACGGGUAAGAAUUACAGCAGGUGCUGCGGGAGGGAGCAAACACGGCUGAAAAGGGAGCGUCCUCACCUCCAUCACACGUGACCUUGAAAAAGCCGAGUACGUUCAGUGGGACUAAGCUCAUUAAACACAGCUGAAGACUAUUAAAAGUUAUUACACAGUUCAAAUAAAUAACUAUGUGUGAUUUGGAUGAGCCUCAUUGUAAGAAAAACGUAAUCAAAAUAUUAGAUAUUGAUUGCUUAUUAUUUCUCCUAUCACAAUGUAAUCUUUCACGGAAUUUCUUUAAAAGGCAACUGUUGCAUGUUAUGCACAACUUGAUAUAGAGAGUGCGUAAUGAUUCAAGAAAACGUGUAUUAUUUUAUAUGGUAAUGUGUCCUAUGCAUUACUAUUCGCAGUCGCAUGUAGGAGGGUCCGUCCCUCUUUGGGGCAGAAGGUCACACCUAAGACUUGUUAGUCACCCAGUUCCUCAAAGGUGUCCAGGAAUGUCUUUUGUACCUUGGUCACUGCUUUAACUUUCGUGGCCUUUGGCCUCCUGCAGCUGGAAACCGCCCACACCUAGACUUGCUGCUCUGGGUGACUCCCUAGUCACUAAUUUAUUCCCAUUUUUCACACAUAUGAACCGCGUGGCUGCCGGGGCCGGCCCUGCUUUAGGCUCUGCUCAGAGUGGAGCAUC
Long non-coding RNA from Hipposideros armiger (great roundleaf bat), 1056 nucleotides. RefSeq lists it as uncharacterized. The transcript is spliced from 3 exons. Lineage: Eukaryota; Metazoa; Chordata; Mammalia; Chiroptera; Hipposideridae. The record is from RefSeq and is a predicted model, not a curated record.